Long non-coding RNA from Phragmites australis (common reed), 482 nucleotides. RefSeq lists it as uncharacterized. Lineage: Eukaryota; Viridiplantae; Streptophyta; Magnoliopsida; Poales; Poaceae. The record is from RefSeq and is a predicted model, not a curated record. The transcript is spliced from 3 exons.
AGCAACUGGGCAGCUUAUCUUGCACAUACACGAAUUCCAUCGAUUUCUAGCUCCUUAUCAUAUAAGUCGCAACCAAUUAAUACGAUCGUCUGAUGGACGACAACAACAGGAACAACUCGGAGCCUCCUCCAGGCUACCCGAGGGUGGACGCAAAGCGGCAAGGAGGCGGCGAGAAGAAGAACAAGUGCUGCGGGCGACCACGCCGCGCGACGGCCAAGCGGGGCGAGGCGAGCUUCAUCGAGGGAUGCAUCGCCGCGCUCUGCUGCUGCUGGCUCUGCGAGCUCUGCUGCGAUUGAUUAGCUGAAGAGGACGCGCCCAGUUGUGCACACGGAGGCGCGCAUGCAUGCAGCAAGCUAGCUAUGUAAUACUAUUUAAUCUGGUCGAGCGAGAGGAGAUUGAUCUCAAAUGAUCGAUGAUAAUGAUGUACGGCAUAUAGACGUCUUUUAGUUGUGUUCUGAAUUCUGAUAUCAUCCCUGAAAAAA